Long non-coding RNA from Hippocampus comes (tiger tail seahorse), 592 nucleotides. RefSeq lists it as uncharacterized. The record is from RefSeq and is a predicted model, not a curated record. The transcript has 2 exons. Lineage: Eukaryota; Metazoa; Chordata; Actinopteri; Syngnathiformes; Syngnathidae.
UUUUAAUUCAUUGCCAAUCACACCAAUGACAGAGUCUAUCUGGGAUCUCCUCACAGUUUGUGAUCGAGAAAUCUGAGAUCGAUUCUUUGCGUCUUCAUGCACCUGGCAGGCAAACGCCGGAGUGUUUCUUCGCACUCGUCAAAUCUGCUGAGGAAACGGCACGUAAUCACGAUCGUGAUGAUUUCUCCCCGUCUUCAGAAGUGGGGAUGCAGAACGAGGAGUACAUCUGAUAAUUGGCCUGUCAGCCUCUGAAUUCAUGCUUGACUCUAGAUUGUGUCCAGCAUGUACUCUGGAGACUGCUGUGCGCCUGUGUGUUCGAGGGGUAACACAUCAGACGGCAGCAGUCAUACGCUGGAGACCACCACCUGCAUUCUAAGGCUUGGACUUCAUACAUCAUUAUUUCAAGAGACAGUUUCACCACUGAAAUUCUACAAAGAUGGCUGACUUGAAAUGCUCCUAAUUAUGCAAUGUGUAAUGUGUACAUUUUGUAAUCAGGACUCACAGAGGUAUUUUAUUGACAGGCUCAAAACAGCCAUAUGAUAAAGAAGGACAUGUGAAACGAGUUAAUGAAAAAUAAACAGCAAGUCAACAA